UUAUUAUUUGUCAAAUAAUUACAUAACAUGAAUAUAAACAUAAUUAUUAUAUUAUUUUUCAUAAUAAACAAACAGUAUGUUCAAAGUUCAUUAUUAGAUUAUGUUCUAUCAUUCGGUUCUGAAACCGAAAAUAAAAAAAAUGUGGAUAUUAACAAUGGAGUAAUUGAUCAAAAUAUUCCAUAUGAGGUGGCAACGAUCGAUGAAAAAUUUAUAAAUGAAGCAGCACAAUUAACAGGUCUUGCACUUUCAGAAUUGGAUUCAUGUCAACAUCGGGUAGUUUUAAAACUUCAAACUGAAUGUCAUAAUUUAAACGAUGAACAAGUGUCCAAAUUAGCUGUAAUGUUGCUGAAUUGCCAAUCAGCCAUAGAAGGUCGAUCAAUUUACCCUUGUACGGAACGCAUGUCAUUACGAGAAUGUACAUCUUCAAUGGAUCCAGAUAUAUGGAACAGUUAUCAUAUAAUGACGAAUCGAGCACGCGCCGUUUGUUAUUCGGUUCGUCAAGCACAAUUUCGAGGUCUCACUGAAAUGACGGUUAAUAAACUAAUGAACACAGCCCAUGAGCAAUUGAGAUCAAUGUCUGAAUUAUCAGCUGGUCAACAAAAGUUACAUGAGACUACUUUAAAUUCAAUACAGGCUGUUUCGGAAGGACAAGAACAGCUUAAAAAACAACAAAGUGAUUUGCAGCAAGCACAAUUAAUGGGACAACUUGCUAUCGAAGAUAAUAUCCAACAAUUGGUUAGAGAAAAAGCUUUAAUAAAAGCGGGACACGAACAGAUUGCAAAAAUGACUCAAGAUGUUCGAUUAAAAUUAGAUGACGCAUCAACUCAAAUUGAACUUCAAAAUGUGGAUCAACGUCACAAACAUAAUCAAAUUUUGAAAGACUUAAUGGCUAUACAAAAAAAAGCUGAAGAUAUUUGGCAACGUAUUGAGGAAUCUACAACGCACAUGUUAGAACAAAGUGCUAGAGCAUCACGGCAAUAUGAGGUGACAUUAGCUCAAUUAGAGCAAGUAAAUUCAACGGUACAUGAAGUAUUCAAUUUGGUUGAACAAUCUAGAGCAGCUAUUGAUAACAAAUUAACGUGGUUAACUGAUACUCUUGGAGGAACAGGAAAUACGAUAGACAAAUUGUAUCUUUGUUUUAGUCACAUAUUAUAUCUAGUGUUUUCAAUGAUUUUGUGUUCAUUUUUAAAUGCACCCAAAAUCACUCGUUAUUUGGUUGUGACUAUAGUACCUUUAAAUUUAAUACUUUCAUUACAAAAAGGUAUUGAAAAUGCAUUUCCAUUACCAGGAUUAAGUUUUAUAAUCGUUUCAAUAACAAUUGCCCAUAUGGUAUUAAUUUCAAUAUUAACAUUCAUGUCAGACAAUAACAUACCCGCACGAGCUUUGACUUGGGUGAAAUCAUCAAAACAAUUAUUUAUUAAAUCAAAACAUUCUUUAAAUUAUCAACAAAAUAUUGGACCAAACAGUAGAAAUGAAUUUCUUACAAAUCCUAAUGUAUUUGAAACAAAGAGCACGUAUAAAGAAGCAACUUCUACGAAUAUGGAAUAUGAUUCAUUAAAUGCAGAAGAAGAUGAUGAUAUUGUUCCAGAAUUUAGUCGAAGUAUGCACGAAUUUUCUAGUCCAACACCUCCCAUAUCACGUGAAGAUGUUUAUUUAUCUCGGCAUUCAAGAUCUCGAAGUAAUACACCAGUUUUAAGUCCAAUAAGUCCAGUUGGUUCAUUACGAAGAAAUUGUUCAGCGAAAACACGAAUGGGAACUUUAUGUAAGAACUCAUCCUUACCAGGUCGUGAUUUUUGCUAUCGCCAUCAAAGUGGUGAUUCGGUAGUGGGAUAACAAUUAUUUAUUAUAAUUUUAUAAUGAAUAAGGACAUUAAAGUAAGAAUUCAUCAUCAGGGCUUGAUUUUUGUUAUCAUCAACAAACUUAUGUACACUAUGAUUGAACAAUCAUGUGCUACUGGAGUAAAAUAAAAAGAGGAUGCUAUAC
Molecule: RNA transcript, 1983 nt
Organism: Chrysoperla carnea
Lineage: Eukaryota; Metazoa; Arthropoda; Insecta; Neuroptera; Chrysopidae
Gene name: protein brambleberry-like
Exons: 8
Source: RefSeq, a predicted model, not a curated record